This 68-nucleotide transfer RNA is filed under the name Picromerus lewisi. RNAcentral's name for it is "tRNA-Phe". Lineage: Eukaryota; Metazoa; Arthropoda; Insecta; Hemiptera; Pentatomidae. RNAcentral also lists the same sequence under 1 other name. The record is from RNAcentral.
AUUUGGGUAUCUUAAAAUUUUAAAGUUUAACUCUGAAGAAGUUAAUAUAGGCCACAGCCUCCCGAGUG